Molecule: unclassified non-coding RNA, 263 nt
Filed under: plant metagenome
Description: partial contains small subunit ribosomal RNA, internal transcribed spacer 1, and 5.8S ribosomal RNA
Source: RNAcentral
UCUCCGUAGGUGAACCUGCGGAAGGAUCAUUAUUGUAUAACCGAGGUGCGAGGGCUGUCGCUGACCCGAAAGGUCGUGCACGCCCGAGUGCCCUCACACACAUCCAUCUCACCCUUAUAUGCACCACCGCGUGGGUCCCCCUUUGGCUUGUUCGGAGGGGGGCUUACGUUUUCACACAAACUUUGUAUGCAGUGUAGAAUGUAUUUUUUGUUUUUGCGAUCACGCAAUCAAUACAACUUUCAACAACGGAUCUCUUGGCUCUC